UCCGCGUGUGGAGGUGCAUGUGGGGAAUGGAAAACCACGUAACUAAUCCCCUGCGUAUAAGAGAGAGAAAAGCUACAGACUCCUCGGACGAAGUGCUGUUGGGGGAGCUGGGAAGAGCGCACUUGCAUUCCAAACCGACUUUCCUUCUCCUUCAGGACCUUCACUGCUUUGUUGCCGAAUUUUAGAAAAGCGAGAGCAAGAUGCUGGAAUUUUUUCUACUGGGUUGCACAGGAGUCGUCGUGUUCCUCCACGGAGCGAAUUUCUUCUUCCACGCUCUCUCCAAGCACAUCGGGAUCCGAUCCUUAAGUUUCCUGGGAUUCGCUGGAUGGUAGAGGAAAAGGAGCGGGUGGGAGCUGAAAGGCAUUUUCGGAACAAGCAAAAGCAACGGCAACAUAUGUAAUUUGUAAAUACAUUAAAAGGCGUGAUUAGGUUUGAACGCAAAUAAUAUUCCAUUCCUCCUAUUUGAGAAGGUCCCGAGUCCAACGGGGUGGACCACAAGGUGUGGUCCACCCAGUGGAUAGAUUCAAGCUUAUUAAGUGCAUAUGACAUCCAACCGUUCCAACAGGUUGGUCCUACCAUGAUGAUCAUCUGGUGCAAAAAAGAAAGCCAUACCUAUUCAUCAGGUGGGCCACACCAUAGAAAACAAUGCCCAGCCAUUGAUAAAUAGCCAAAAACAUGAGCAUGGUUUGAUUUUUUUACAAGGUGAUCCCCCUGAUAGGGCCAACUUAUUGGACGGGUUGGAUCUUGCACAGACUAAAGGUAGAAGGUUAUCCGCUGGGUGGACCAGAGCUUAUAGUCCGACCAGUUGGACUCGAGACCUAAAUAUAUUUAGUAGAAAGUAUUUUGA
This is a long non-coding RNA of Magnolia sinica, 847 nucleotides long. RefSeq lists it as uncharacterized. The transcript has 2 exons. The record is from RefSeq and is a predicted model, not a curated record. NCBI's taxonomy places the organism in Eukaryota, Viridiplantae, Streptophyta, Magnoliopsida, Magnoliales, Magnoliaceae.